This 253-nucleotide ribosomal RNA is filed under the name uncultured bacterium. RNAcentral's name for it is "partial 16S ribosomal RNA". It matches the Rfam family "Bacterial small subunit ribosomal RNA", at positions 524 to 776 of the family's 1533-position model. The record is from RNAcentral.
UACGGGGGGAGCGAACGUUGUUCGGAAUUACUGGGCGUAAAGGGCGUGCAGGCGGCCUUGUAAGUGGGAUGUGAAAUGCCCUGGCUCAACCAGGGAACUGCAUUCCAAACUGCAAGGCUUGAGUAUAGGAGAGGAUGGGGGAAUUCCCGGUGUAGCGGUGAAAUGCAUUGAUAUCGGGAGGAACACCAGUGGCGAAGGCGCCCAUCUGGCCUAAUACUGACGCUCAGGCGCGAAAGCUAGGGGAGCAAACAGG